This is a long non-coding RNA of Ostrea edulis (European flat oyster), 475 nucleotides long. RefSeq lists it as uncharacterized. The record is from RefSeq and is a predicted model, not a curated record. The transcript has 3 exons. NCBI's taxonomy places the organism in Eukaryota, Metazoa, Mollusca, Bivalvia, Ostreida, Ostreidae.
ACAUUUUUAUUCUACAAUGUACAUGCACCAGAGAUAGUGAAUGAGCUGAACAUUACAUUGUCAAUGUUCCCAGAAAAUUACCUUCAUGUUUCAGCUAGAGAGACGUGAUUUUGUUCUGUAGUGCAAAGCACAAUAUUCAACAAUACUUUGAUCAUUAGAGUUAGAAUUCUCAUCAAAAUUUUGGAAGACCUGAUCACCUUAGACUACGAAGGUAUUUUCAAUGAGGAACUCUAGCAUAUUUUCAAUUUCAACUUCUGGAUACUCUGUACAAGGAAUCGGAGUGAUGUUUAACGAGUUUGUCCCAGAGGAUGGAACUUGUAUUGUCGCCACGGUUAAUUAUUUUCUAAAGAGAAAGUAACGCUAAAAGACGCAAUUAGCAAGUGUGUUGAUGCGGUAGGAAGUGGCCGUCUCGCUGAAGUUGGGGGCUACCGCGAAGAGAAAUGGCUGGAACUUCAGAUUAAAUUAAGAGGUAAGC